GAUGAACGCUGGCGGCGUGCCUAGUACAUGCAAGUCGAGCGAACAGAUAAGGAGCUUGCUCCUUUGACGUUAGCGGCGGACGGGUGAGUAACACGUGGGUAACCUACCUAUAAGACUGGAAUAACUCCGGGAAACCGGGGCUAAUGCCGGAUAACAUUUAGAACCGCAUGGUUCUAAAGUGAAAGAUGGUUUUGCUAUCACUUAUAGAUGGACCCGCGCCGUAUUAGCUAGUUGGUAAGGUAACGGCUUACCAAGGCAACGAUACGUAGCCGACCUGAGAGGGUGAUCGGCCACACUGGAACUGAGACACGGUCCAGACUCCUACGGGAGGCAGCAGUAGGGAAUCUUCCGCAAUGGGCGAAAGCCUGACGGAGCAACGCCGCGUGAGUGAUGAAGGUCUUCGGAUCGUAAAACUCUGUUAUUAGGGAAGAACAAAUGUGUAAGUAACUGUGCACGCCUUGACGGUACCUAAUCAGAAAGCCACGGCUAACUACGUG
Molecule: ribosomal RNA, 497 nt
Filed under: uncultured bacterium
Lineage: Bacteria
Description: partial 16S ribosomal RNA
Rfam family: Bacterial small subunit ribosomal RNA
Source: RNAcentral